RNAcentral lists this ribosomal RNA (440 nucleotides) under uncultured bacterium. RNAcentral's name for it is "bacterial SSU rRNA". It matches the Rfam family "Bacterial small subunit ribosomal RNA", at positions 958 to 1401 of the family's 1533-position model. The record is from RNAcentral.
AACGCGAAGAACCUUACCCAGGCUUGAACAGCGAGUGACCACUCACGAAAGUGAGCUUCCGCAAGGACACUCGUAGAGGUGCUGCAUGGCUGUCGUCAGCUCGUGUCGUGAGAUGUUGGGUUAAGUCCCGCAACGAGCGCAACCCUUGUCUUCUGUUGCCAUCAGGUUAUGCUGGGCACUCUGGAGAGACUGCCGGUGAUAAACCGGAGGAAGGUGGGGAUGACGUCAAGUCAGCAUGGCCUUUAUGUCUGGGGCUACACACGUGCUACAAUGGCCGGCACAAACCGUCGCGAGCCCGCGAGGGGGAGCUAAUCGGAGAAAGUCGGUCUCAGUUCGGAUAGCAGGCUGCAACCCGCCUGCUUGAAGUUGGAAUCGCUAGUAAUCGCGGAUCAGCACGCCGCGGUGAAUACGUUCCCGGGCCUUGUACACACCGCUACAGU